UCCCCUGUAGUUCAAUGGUAGAACGGCGCGCUGUUAACGCGUAGGUUCUUGGUUCGAAUCCAAGCGGGGGAG
This 72-nucleotide transfer RNA is filed under the name Minisyncoccota bacterium. RNAcentral describes it as "tRNA-Asn". It matches the Rfam family "tRNA". From Rfam's summary of the family: Transfer RNA (tRNA) molecules are approximately 80 nucleotides in length. Their secondary structure includes four short double-helical elements and three loops (D, anti-codon, and T loops). Further hydrogen bonds mediate the characteristic L-shaped molecular structure. tRNAs have two regions of fundamental functional importance: the anti-codon, which is responsible for specific mRNA codon recognition, and the 3' end, to which the tRNAs corresponding amino acid is attached (by aminoacyl-tRNA synthetases). tRNAs cope with the degeneracy of the genetic code in two manners: having more than one tRNA (with a specific anti-codon) for a particular amino acid; and 'wobble' base-pairing, i.e. permitting non-standard base-pairing at the 3rd anti-codon position. The record is from RNAcentral. Lineage: Bacteria; Bacillati; Minisyncoccota.